AAUGUUUGUACCUGCCCUAAGUCACGAAUCUGAUGUACAGUAGUUGUCGUUUGUUUAUGUAAUAUAUACGUGUUUCUCGUUUCUCCUUUUGUUAUAUAGAUAAGACCGUUGGUUUUCCUGUUUGAAUGGUUUUACACUAGUAAUUUUGGGGCCCUUUAUAGCUUGUUGUUCGGUGUGAGCCAAGGCUCCGUGUUGAAGGCCGCACAUUGACCUAUAAUGGUUUACUGUUUUUUUUUUUAAAUUGUUAUUUGGAUGGAGCGUUGUCUCAUUGGCACUCACACCACAUCUUCCUAUAUCUA
Molecule: long non-coding RNA, 299 nt
Filed under: Mytilus galloprovincialis (Mediterranean mussel)
Lineage: Eukaryota; Metazoa; Mollusca; Bivalvia; Mytilida; Mytilidae
Source: RNAcentral